UACGGGGGGUGCAAGCGUUGUCCGGAAUCAUUGGGCGUAAAGAGUUCGUAGGCGGCACGUAAAGUCUGGUGUUAAAGGCAGAGGCUCAACUUCUGUACGGCACUGGAUACUUGCGAGCUAGAAUGCGGUAGAGGUAAAGGGAAUUCCUGGUGUAGCGGUGAAAUGCGUAGAUAUAUGGAAGAACACCAGUGGCGAAGGCGGCUCUCUGGUCUGUAACUGACGCUGAGGCUCGAAAGCAUGGGUAGCGAACAGG
RNAcentral lists this ribosomal RNA (253 nucleotides) under uncultured cyanobacterium. RNAcentral describes it as "partial 16S ribosomal RNA". It matches the Rfam family "Bacterial small subunit ribosomal RNA", at positions 524 to 776 of the family's 1533-position model. Lineage: Bacteria; Bacillati; Cyanobacteriota. The record is from RNAcentral.